AUUGAACGCUGGCGGCAUGCCUUACACAUGCAAGUCGAACGGUAACAGGUUAAGCUGACGAGUGGCGAACGGGUGAGUAACACAUCGGAACGUGCCCAAUCGUGGGGGAUAACGUAGCGAAAGCUACGCUAAUACCGCAUACGAUCUACGGAUGAAAGCGGGGGAUCGCAAGACCUCGCGCGAAUGGAGCGGCCGAUGGCAGAUUAGGUAGUUGGUGGGGUAAAGGCUCACCAAGCCGACGAUCUGUAGCUGGUCUGAGAGGACGACCAGCCACACUGGGACUGAGACACGGCCCAGACUCCUACGGGAGGCAGCAGUGGGGGAAUUUUGGACAAUGGGCGCAAGCCUGAUCCAGCAAUGCCGCGUGCAGGAUGAAGGCCUUC
RNAcentral lists this ribosomal RNA (383 nucleotides) under uncultured bacterium. Its description in RNAcentral is "bacterial SSU rRNA". It matches the Rfam family "Bacterial small subunit ribosomal RNA", at positions 29 to 419 of the family's 1533-position model. The record is from RNAcentral.